AGUGAACGCUGGCGGUAUGCCUAACACAUGCAAGUCGAACGACAGCACAGUAAGAUCUUGCUCUUACGGGUGGCGAGUGGCGGACGGGUGAGGAAUACAUCGGAAUCUACUUUUUCGUGGGUGAUAACGUAGGGAAACUUACGCUAAUACCUCAUAUGACCUACGGGUUAAAGCAGGGGUUCUUCGGACCUUUCGCGAUUGAAUGAGCCGAUGUCGGAUUAGCUAGUUGGCGGGGUAAAGGCCCACCAAGGCGACGAUCCGUAGCUGGUCUGAGAGGGUGAUCAGCCACACUGGAACUGAGACACGGUCCAGACUCCGACGGGAGGCAGCAGUGGGGAAUCUUGCGCAAUGGGCGAAAGCCUGACCCAGCCACACCGCGUGAGUGAUGAAGGCCUUCGGAUUGUAAAGCCCUGUUGUUAGGAAAGAAAAAAAGCAGGUUAAUCCCCCGCUGUUCUGACGGUACCCAAAGAAUAAGCCCCGGCUAACUUCGUG
This 492-nucleotide ribosomal RNA is filed under the name uncultured bacterium. Its description in RNAcentral is "partial 16S ribosomal RNA". It matches the Rfam family "Bacterial small subunit ribosomal RNA", at positions 29 to 507 of the family's 1533-position model. The record is from RNAcentral.